AGGUGCAUGCCUCUAGCA
RNAcentral lists this ribosomal RNA (18 nucleotides) under Symbiodinium sp. BIK IOtsH4. Its description in RNAcentral is "partial 28S ribosomal RNA". Lineage: Eukaryota; Dinophyceae; Suessiales; Symbiodiniaceae. The record is from RNAcentral.